CCCUAACUGUGCAAAGGUAGCAUAAUAAUUUGGCCUUUAAUUGGGGUCUAGAAUGAAGGGGCUCAUGAAAGACGGCUUGUAAACCUGUAAAACUAUAAUUUAAGGGCUUGAUUAAAACUUCAAGUUCAAUCAGUGGGAAGAUAAGACCCUGCAGAGCUGAUUUAGACUAGGCUUAGAUCAAAACAAUAGGGGUGUUUGGUUUUGUUGACUUAAACUGGGGCGGUAAACUAAUAUAUCUAGUUUGUAGUUCAACUAUGUAGCCAGACUGGGAUCUUAAACAAGUUAAAGAGUAGUUACCUCAGGGAUAACAGCACAAUGCUUUUAGAGAGGCCUAAUUGAUAAAAGAUCUUGUGACCUCGAUGUUGAAUUAAAGGUGCUAUCUAGUGUAGUAGCUAGGUAAGCUAGUCUGUUCGACUAUUAAA
RNAcentral lists this ribosomal RNA (422 nucleotides) under Cytherissa parallela. RNAcentral's name for it is "partial small subunit ribosomal RNA". It matches the Rfam family "Archaeal large subunit ribosomal RNA", at positions 2017 to 2661 of the family's 2987-position model. Lineage: Eukaryota; Metazoa; Arthropoda; Ostracoda; Podocopida; Cytherideidae. The record is from RNAcentral.